This 254-nucleotide ribosomal RNA is filed under the name uncultured bacterium. RNAcentral's name for it is "partial 16S ribosomal RNA". It matches the Rfam family "Bacterial small subunit ribosomal RNA", at positions 524 to 776 of the family's 1533-position model. The record is from RNAcentral.
UACGGGGGGAGCAAGCGUUGUUCGGAUUUACUGGGCGUAAAGGGCGCGUAGGCGGCCACCGCAAGUCAAUUGUGAAAUCUCCGGGCUUAACUCGGAACUGCCAAGUGAAACUGUCAGGCUAGAGUGCAGAAGGGGCAAUCGGAAUUCUUGGUGUAGCGGUGAAAUGCGUAGAUAUCAAGAGGAACACCUGAGGUGAAGACGGGUUGCUGGGCUGACACUGACGCUGAGGCGCGAAAGCCAGGGGAGCAAACGGG